AACGAACGCUGGCGGCAUGCCUAACACAUGCAAGUCGAACGAGACCUUCGGGUCUAGUGGCGCACGGGUGCGUAACGCGUGGGAACCUGCCCUUAGGUUCGGAAUAACUCCCCGAAAGGGGUGCUAAUACCGGAUAAUGUCUUCGGACCAAAGAUUUAUCGCCUUUGGAUGGGCCCGCGUUGGAUUAGCUAGUUGGUAGUGUAAAAGCCUACCAAGGCGACGAUCCAUAGCUGGUCUGAGAGGAUGAUCAGCCACACUGGGACUGAGACACGGCACAGACUCCUACGGGAGGCAGCAGUGGGGAAUAUUGGACAAUGGGCGAAAGACUGAUCAAGCAAUGCCGCGUGAGUGAUGAAGGCCUUAGGGUUGUAAAGCUCUUUUACCCGGGAUGAUAAUGACAGUACCGGGAGAAUAAGCUCCGGCUAACUCCGUG
This 433-nucleotide ribosomal RNA is filed under the name uncultured bacterium. Its description in RNAcentral is "partial 16S ribosomal RNA". It matches the Rfam family "Bacterial small subunit ribosomal RNA", at positions 29 to 507 of the family's 1533-position model. The record is from RNAcentral.